This 76-nucleotide transfer RNA is filed under the name Sodalis-like endosymbiont of Proechinophthirus fluctus. RNAcentral describes it as "tRNA-Val". It matches the Rfam family "tRNA". Rfam says of the family: Transfer RNA (tRNA) molecules are approximately 80 nucleotides in length. Lineage: Bacteria; Pseudomonadati; Pseudomonadota; Gammaproteobacteria; Enterobacterales; Bruguierivoracaceae. The record is from RNAcentral.
GGGUGAUUAGCUCAGAUGGGAGAGCACCUCCCUUACAAGGAGGGGGUCGGCGGUUCGAUCCCGUCAUCACCCACUA